AACGAACGCUGGCGGCAUGCCUAACACAUGCAAGUCGAACGAGACCUUCGGGUCUAGUGGCGCACGGGUGCGUAACGCGUGGGAACCUGCCCUUAGGUUCGGAAUAACUCCCCGAAAGGGGUGCUAAUACCGGAUAAUGUCUUCGGACCAAAGAUUUAUCGCCUCUGGAUGGGCCCGCGUUGGAUUAGCUAGUUGGUAGGGUAAAAGCCUACCAAGGCGACGAUCCAUAGCUGGUCUGAGAGGAUGAUCAGCCACACUGGGACUGAGACACGGCCCAGACUCCUACGGGAGGCAGCAGUGGGGAAUAUUGGACAAUGGGCGAAAGCCUGAUCCAGCAAUGCCGCGUGAGUGAUGAAGGCCUUAGGGUUGUAAAGCUCUUUUACCCGGGAUGAUAAUGACAGUACCGGGAGAAUAAGCUCCGGCUAACUCCGU
RNAcentral lists this ribosomal RNA (432 nucleotides) under uncultured bacterium. RNAcentral describes it as "partial 16S ribosomal RNA". It matches the Rfam family "Bacterial small subunit ribosomal RNA", at positions 29 to 506 of the family's 1533-position model. The record is from RNAcentral.